Homo sapiens (human) is the source of this 1793-nucleotide long non-coding RNA. Ensembl annotates it as CCDC26 long non-coding RNA. Its record names the gene CCDC26. NCBI's taxonomy places the organism in Eukaryota, Metazoa, Chordata, Mammalia, Primates, Hominidae. The record is from Ensembl.
GCUACAGUGCUACUGGCCCAUAAUCAGGCAACUGCAGAGUCUUAGGGGGUUAUCUAAUGUAGUCUUGGGGUGGCUGGAUAGACUUCCCAAAGAAGGUGAUGCCGAAGCUGAGGUCGGAAAUUACGAAGAUCAGCUAUGGAGUCAGAGGGAUAUUUGACUGUAGAAAAGGAGAAGGCAAUGUGAUGACAGAAAGCGGGGAUCGGAGUGAUGGUGCCAAGGAACACCAGCAUCCUUAGAAGCUGGCAGAAACAAGAAGUGGACUCUACCCUGGAUCCUCCAGGAGAAACCAGCUCUACUCACACCUUGAUUUUAGCCCUGCAAGACUCAUUUUGGACUUCUGGUUUCCAGAACUGUUAGAGAAUCUUUAAUAAAUGAAAUAAAUGUGACUGUAUGUCCUACAUCCCAUUCCUGUUGUCUUCCAUGUCUCCUCAGAGGAAGGCCUGAGGAGAGAAGACACAUAGUCAUGCUGACUAAACCAGAUCACCUAGAAUUACCAAAUGGAAAGAUUGUGCCUGCAGCCUGGCCUGUUGCCCACAGCGGUCUACCUGCCACACUGGGAAAGAUCGAGCAGAGACAGAGAAGAAAAGGAGGCUCCAUUUUUCAGGCUGCUCUCCCGCAGGCUCAUGUUUUGUGUUCAUGCCAGGCAGAGAACACAAAAUGUUCCAAUAAAUAAGUAUCAAAGGUUAGUGGUGAAAAUGAAGGAGGAGGAGGCAUUGCGUGAAAAACUAAACAUGCAAAAUAUUACACACAAAGAGAACCAAAAUGCAGGUUCACUGGAAAUGAUAGACAAUAUGUUAAAACAAGAGGAGAGAAGAGAGCUGAAAUAAUCAAAUGGAAACACACAAUUUAGGGCUAAGAUCUUGUUGUGUUCAGCCACAAAUGAUGGCCAGCAGUGAGGAAUCUGUGUGUUCUCCACACUCUUCGCUCCUGGGAAGUCAACUCACAUGGACCAUGAUAUCAAUAUCUGCUCCUUCCCCUAAUAUCUGUUUGACCUUGGGUCAGUUACUUAAACUUCCUAAGCCUUAGUUUCUUUGUCUGGAAAAUAGGGAUAGUUAUACCUACCACACAACCACUUUGUAAUGAAUAUGUUGGAAAUUAUAUGCAAAUUGGCUUCCGUUGGUGUUUGGAACAUAGUAGGUUUUUAACUGGAAUAUAAUAGCUACCAUUAUCAGUAUCAUCAUAUUAAUUUAUAUUUCCAUCUUCAGCCCUUAACCCAGGAUCUUCAGUAAAUGUUGAAUUCUCAAAUUUGUUAAAUUCACUUGUCUAUACUAAUAUUUUACUCUAGGUUUCUUAGAAUAUUCUAGAUAAUAUUAUUAUGUAGAAUAUGUUAUGUAAGCUUCAUCUUAUCUGUAAAUAUAGUUUUACUUUUUCCUUUCUAAUUUUUAUGUCGAUUACUUCUUUUUCUUGGCUUAUUGAAUUGGCUAGGAUUCCCGUACAGUGUUGAAUACGUGCAGCAAGACUGCACAUCUUGCCUUGUUCCUGGUCCCACAGAGAGAAUAUCCAGUACUUCACAAUAAGUAUGUGUUAAUUGUAGAUUUUAUUAGAUUGAGGAAGUUCCCUUUCCUUUCAAGUCAGUCUUUUUAUUUUAAACAUGUAUUGAAGUUUUGUCAAAUGUCUUCAUCUAUUGGAAUAAUUAUACAUAUCUCUUUUUUAUUCUGUUAAUAUUACAUUUCAAUCUUCUGUCUACCUAAAAUCCCUAGAAUAAUCUCCAUUUGGCUAUGAUGUGUUGUGCUUUUAUAUAUUACUGAAUUCUAUAUGCCAAUAUUAUUAAAAUUUUCUGUCUUUAUGAGAAA